UCUCCGUAGGUGAACCUUCGGAGGGAUCAUUACUGAGUGAGGGCUCACGCCCGACCUCCAACCCCAUGUGAACCGCAACUGUUGCUUCGGGGGCGACCCCGCCGUUUCGGCGGUGGCGCUCCCGGUGGCCAAUUAUUAAACUCUGCAUCUCUUGCGUCGGAGUCUUAAAGAAAUUUAAACAAAACUUUCAACAACGGAUCUCUUGGUUCUGGCAUCGAUGAAGAACGCAGC
RNAcentral lists this unclassified non-coding RNA (231 nucleotides) under uncultured fungus. Its description in RNAcentral is "sequence contains ITS1, 5.8S rRNA gene". The stretch from base 183 to 231 matches the Rfam family "5.8S ribosomal RNA", at positions 1 to 49 of the family's 154-position model. The record is from RNAcentral. Lineage: Eukaryota; Fungi.